GGACUACACGGGUAUCUAAUCCUGUUUGCUCCCCACGCUUUCGUGCCUCAGUGUCAGGAAUUUCCCAGAAAGGCGCCUUCGCCGCCGGCCUUCCCCCGAAUAUCUGCGCAUUUCACCGCUACACUCGGAGUUCCCCUUUCCCCUGAAAUCCUCAAGCCGCGCAGUAUAACGCGCAAUUCCCCGGGUAAGCCGAGGGCUUUCACACGUUACUUACGCAGCCACCUACGCACCCUUUAAGCCCAGUGACACCGAACAACGUUCGCCCCUCACGUAUUACCGCGGCUGCUGGCAC
Molecule: ribosomal RNA, 292 nt
Filed under: uncultured bacterium
Lineage: Bacteria
Description: partial 16S ribosomal RNA
Source: RNAcentral